GCAGGGUAAGGUAAUGGGGACAAAUUGGUGCAAGAGGAGAGUCAAAGGCCCUCUGAUAAGUUCCCUCAUGCUAUAGGGUGGGAGACAGAAAUGGCUUUGGAUGUGUACCAUGCUCAUCACAGGAGGUCACCCGGAACUGAAGAGUAGAGGCUUUUGUAUCUGUUCAGAUCGAGGACUGUUACCGUUCCGUGGGACUGGGCCUCUCCAAUGGCAUUGGCUGCAUGGCAGUGGUACACUCCUUCAUCUUCCUUUCUCAGAGGGUUGAUCUAGAAAUAUAACAGCACCUGAUGACAGGGCUGGAGCCCUUGGCGCAAUGGCUCUCCAGUGACUGCCUGGCCCAUGCUAGGCCACCUGCCCCUUCCAAUCAGCCACACUUUCAGCUCUGCCUACAUGACUGUUCUUCAAAGAGAUGUCCAAACCCAUAUCCAAGAGUGCAGCCAGCGGUCUGGUCUUGUAAAGUCUCCUAACUUCCAACAGCCCUGAACAAAGCCCGAGACUUCCAACAUGCCCUGCAGCCACGGACCUUACACAAGUAGUUGUCUGGCAGAAGCCCCAUCUGCCACAACAAAGAGGGGCUAAUUUAUUCACAUUCUCCUCCUGCCAACACCUCCUCAGUGACACUGGCGCUUACACAGGCAAGCCUGUCCCCAAAUGGCUGUGGGACGGUCAUACCACCUCUGAUUCCAGGGCCUUCAGUGGGUUCCAGAGGGCCGCUUCAUCAACGUGUUUCACUUUUCUUCAAGUAAAGUCAUAAAUUUUAAAUGAGACCUCAUCGCUUCCUUUCAAACCUAAAUGAAUAAACCAGUAAAUCACAUUUCCUGCUUG
Molecule: long non-coding RNA, 825 nt
Organism: Mastomys coucha (southern multimammate mouse)
Lineage: Eukaryota; Metazoa; Chordata; Mammalia; Rodentia; Muridae
Exons: 3
Source: RefSeq, a predicted model, not a curated record